GUAGCAAAACUCCAACCUAAUGUGGCAAUUCCUAACAUAAUAAUGCCAUAAUCACGGAAGUCACCCGCUCUAGCUUAUGAUCAACAUCCCACUAACAUAUAUUGCAGGGAUUUGCAAGUGCAGUUAUCCCCAAAGGAACUAUGGUUGUUGAUAUAAAAGCAAUGCUGCAUUCAAAGAAAAAGCAAAUACUGACCGGCUGUUAGUAAAAUUCAGCGGCACCAACAAGUAGUCCAGUACAAACUACACGAGGAAAAGAGUAAUAUAUUUGAAAUCGAAAGAGUUGCUUUACUAAGAUAGAUAUUAUAAUAAUUUCAUUAUUGCCUUCCUAAUUAUAUAGUUCGUCGUAGAUUAGCAUAAAAAAUAAUAGCGAUGCUACAAUUACAAGCAAAAUCCUUGCUUCGAGAGAGAAAGACACGCUUGUAAGCUCUAAAAGGUAAUUAGUGGUAGAAUAUCCAAAUGUAUAGAGGAUAAAUAUAAGGGAUAUACUUAAAUAACUUUUAAUUAUAGAAUAUAAAUUUAUUUUUUACUAAAAUAUUUCAUUUUGCGUGCCA
Non-coding RNA from Cinara cedri, 551 nucleotides. Lineage: Eukaryota; Metazoa; Arthropoda; Insecta; Hemiptera; Aphididae. The record is from the annotation of a GenBank genome assembly.